UGGUUCCUACGGGGGGCAGCAGUGGGGAAUAUUGGGCAAUGGGCGCAAGCCUGACCCAGCAACGCCGCGUGAAGGAAGAAGGCUUUCGGGUUGUAAACUUCUUUUCUCAGGGACGAAGCAAGUGACGGUACCUGAGGAAUAAGCCACGGCUAACUACGUGCCAGCAGCCGCGGUAAUACGUAGGUGGCAAGCGUUGUCCGGAUUUACUGGGUGUAAAGGGCGUGCAGCCGGGGUGACAAGUCAGAUGUGAAAUCCCGCGGCUCAACCGCGGAACUGCAUUUGAAACUGUUAGUCUUGAGUACCGG
RNAcentral lists this ribosomal RNA (305 nucleotides) under uncultured bacterium. RNAcentral describes it as "bacterial SSU rRNA". It matches the Rfam family "Bacterial small subunit ribosomal RNA", at positions 333 to 652 of the family's 1533-position model. The record is from RNAcentral.